Molecule: ribosomal RNA, 460 nt
Filed under: uncultured bacterium
Lineage: Bacteria
Description: partial 16S ribosomal RNA
Rfam family: Bacterial small subunit ribosomal RNA
Source: RNAcentral
CCUACGGGAGACAGCAGUGAGGAAUAUUGGUCAAUGGACGAGAGUCUGAACCAGCCAAGUAGCGUGAAGGAUGACUGCCCUAUGGGUUGUAAACUUCUUUUAUAUGGGAGUAAAAUGUUCCACGUGUGGGAUUUUGUAUGUACCAUAUGAAUAAGGAUCGGCUAACUCCGUGCCAGCAGCCGCGGUAAUACGGAGGAUCCGAGCGUUAUCCGGAUUUAUUGGGUUUAAAGGGAGCGUAGGUGGAUUGUUAAGUCAGUUGUGAAAGUUUGCGGCUCAACCGUAAAAUUGCAGUUGAAACUGGCAGUCUUGAGUACAGUAGAGGUGGGCGGAAUUCGUGGUGUAGCGGUGAAAUGCUUAGAUAUCACGAAGAACUCCGAUUGCGAAGGCAGUUCACUGGACUGCAACUGACACUGAGGCUCGAAAGUGUGGGUAUCAAACAGGAUUAGAUACCCUAGUAGUC